GACAGUUUAAAUAAGUGUUAAAUGCUACAUUAAACUUCAUCACAUAUCACGCAUAGAUGAUUUUGUUUACAGUAGUAACAAUUUCCGCGUGAAUCACCCAUCACAGUGAAUCACUGAAAUUACCCAAUAUCAGUAUCACUUACGCAACUGCAGACAGCUGCUUAAUACAGUCACACUUGUCUUGACUUGGCGUAAUAAAAAUUUUCAUUGAAACACCCGCUCGCGGGCAUCGUUCGGUGAUUUUUUUUAUUUUGUUGCAUCACGCAUACAAAAUUUUUUGAUUUCUCUGUAUCGCUUAUUCUUAAGGACAUGCGUUACACCGUGACAAUUUCUUUAUGGAUAACUCAGGGAAAGUUUGGCUAAUACGUACGAGUAAUUUACCACACACACACACACACACUCAACAAUUCAAAAUUUUUUUGUAUUGCUGUGUAUCAACUACUACUCAGCACUCAAUGGUAAACUUUGGCUGCCCUCGCGCAGUCAGUUUAAAGUUUAACUGCAACAUGAGAGACAUUGAGCACGCACGUGUCGUGUCUUCGGACACUUCACAUCACGCUGAGCAGACUUUGCGAAGUUUACUUUGCGAAGCAUGUCAUACAAGCAUCUACAGCAUCAAGUCACAGGGUUGGCAAGUGUAUUUUUGAACCUUCAAAGCAGUCACGCAUACGGAAGAGUAGUUUCUGAUCCCAUAGAAGGAGCACCGUACAAUGAGAGACCGCUCUUAGUUCUAAGGAACGCAGCAGGCGCGUAAAUUGCCCAAUGCUAGUACCCUACAAUCAAAUUGUAUUUACAUGCGUUAACAAUUUACAACAUACAAGUUUUAAUGACAGACAUUAUAACACUUUCAUUUUUUCUGUUACAUUACACACAUAUAUAUCCUUGUUCGUUGUAUUCAGCAUCUAUAAUAUUAAUUUAUUAUUUUACUGAGGCAGUGACAAGCUGUAACGGUUGAGUAUAAAAAUGACGAGUGUCUGGCAUUGCCGCUCUUUCGGGAGCUUGGCAAGUUGCGGACGCUUUGUGUGCUCAAUUGGAAUGCGGUGAGUUUAAGCAACUCAGAACCUUUGGACGGUGUUAGU
This 1079-nucleotide ribosomal RNA is filed under the name Cibicidoides variabilis. Its description in RNAcentral is "SSU rRNA". The record is from RNAcentral. Lineage: Eukaryota; Foraminifera; Rotaliida; Anomalinidae.